Molecule: ribosomal RNA, 305 nt
Filed under: uncultured bacterium
Lineage: Bacteria
Description: bacterial SSU rRNA
Rfam family: Bacterial small subunit ribosomal RNA
Source: RNAcentral
CAACCCUUGUCAUUAGUUGCUACGCAAGAGCACUCUAAUGAGACUGCCGGUGACAAACCGGAGGAAGGUGGGGAUGACGUCAGGUCCUCAUGGCCCUUAUGGGUAGGGCUACACACGUCAUACAAUGGCCGGUACAGAGGGCUGCCAACCCGCGAGGGGGAGCCAAUCCCAGAAAACCGGUCGUAGUCCGGAUCGUAGUCUGCAACUCGACUGCGUGAAGUCGGAAUCGCUAGUAAUCGCGGAUCAGCUUGCCGCGGUGAAUACGUUCCCGGGUCUUGUACACACCGCCCGUCACACCAUGGGAG